This 878-nucleotide long non-coding RNA is filed under the name Mytilus galloprovincialis (Mediterranean mussel). The record is from RNAcentral. Lineage: Eukaryota; Metazoa; Mollusca; Bivalvia; Mytilida; Mytilidae.
UUAUAAUCCACAACCAGUACAAAUUUCACUAGAAAUCUGGUAUACACUUUCUAUCAACAAAUUAUUAUAGUUUCAUAUCCGUCCCCUUUAUAACUUUUUUGUCUGAAAUAGGCCUUAUGUAUGUUUAUGUUGGAAUUUAUUAUCAAAUCAUGAAUAUUGCACACUUUUGUUUUUUUUUACCUUGAACAGUCAACACCCAUACUUUUGGAAACCAUGAAUACCUAGAGUUUGCGACUAUUUUAAACUUAUAUUCGAAAAGCAUAUUUUGGUAUACCAGCAAUAUGAAUAAAAUGAAUCAGACAGCAGCCCAACAACACAAAUAGCCAAAAGAAAUGUAGACUUCAACAUAUGAUCUUCAACAAUAGACAGUUCUGUACAAUACUUCAAGCUAAAGAACUCGGGCUUUUUAGAGAAAAGAGCACUUCUGUGGUUUUGUGGAAGCAUGCUCUUCACAAGGUUGGGAGUAAGGGGGUUUGAGCCCCUGUCUGAUCAAACCAAAUACUUUGAAAUUAGUAUUUUCUGCUUUAAUGCUUAGCAUACAACAUUUACAAGGUACGGCAAAGACUAGUUGGCUCUGAGUCAGUAAUGAUUUUUUUGUGAACAAGAAUUUUUAAAAUCCAGCUUAGCAUGUCAUUAUAGUACUCUAGUACAAAGUCAAAUUCAUAUUCAUAUAACAUUAAUGGUAUUGUCCUUAUAUGCAUGUAAUACUUGCCACUGGACAUUAAACAUGACUCCAUCAUCACCACCUUAGUGAAUUUUCCUGUCAAAAGUAUUUGGAAUCAUCAUCAUGUAUAUACAUAAAAAAAAUGAAAAAAAACAUUUGUGUCUGUAUUUUUAUCUGUAUUUUAUUUUUCAUUUACAUGUUGCACUGUUAAAUC